Molecule: ribosomal RNA, 877 nt
Filed under: uncultured bacterium
Lineage: Bacteria
Description: bacterial SSU rRNA
Rfam family: Bacterial small subunit ribosomal RNA
Source: RNAcentral
CAUGCAGUCGAGCGGCAGCACAGAGAAACUUGUUUCUCGGGUGGCGAGCGGCGGACGGGUGAGUAAUGCCUGGGAAAUUGCCCUGAUGUGGGGGAUAACCAUCGGAAACGAUGGCUAAUACCGCAUGAUGCCUACGGGCCAAAGAGGGGGACCUUCGGGCCUCUCGCGUCAGGAUAUGCCCAGGUGGGAUUAGCUAGUUGGUGAGGUAAGGGCUCACCAAGGCGACGAUCCCUAGCUGGUCUGAGAGGAUGAUCAGCCACACUGGAACUGAGACACGGUCCAGACUCCUACGGGAGGCAGCAGUGGGGAAUAUUGCACAAUGGGCGCAAGCCUGAUGCAGCCAUGCCGCGUGUGUGAAGAAGGCCUUCGGGUUGUAAAGCACUUUCAGUAGGGAGGAAGGUGGUAGUGUUAAUAGCGCUAUCAUUUGACGUUACCUACAGAAGAAGCACCGGCUAACUCCGUGCCAGCAGCCGCGGUAAUACGGAGGGUGCGAGCGUUAAUCGGAAUUACUGGGCGUAAAGCGCAUGCAGGUGGUUUGUUAAGUCAGAUGUGAAAGCCCCGGGCUCAACCUGGGAAUUGCAUUUGAAACUGGCAAACUAGAGUACUGUAGAGGGGGGUAGAAUUUCAGGUGUAGCGGUGAAAUGCGUAGAGAUCUGAAGGAAUACCGGUGGCGAAGGCGGCCCCCUGGACAGAUACUGACACUCAGAUGCGAAAGCGUGGGGAGCAAACAGGAUUAGAUACCCUGGUAGUCCACGCCGUAAACGAUGUCUACUUGGGAGGUUGUGGCCCUUGAGCCGUGGCUUUCGGAGCUAACGCGUUUAAGUAGACCCGCCCUGGGGAGUACGGUCGCAAGAUUUAAAACUCAAAGGAUUGACGG